Molecule: long non-coding RNA, 1568 nt
Filed under: Solanum tuberosum (potato)
Lineage: Eukaryota; Viridiplantae; Streptophyta; Magnoliopsida; Solanales; Solanaceae
Description: long non-coding RNA (STUB_LNC004611)
Source: RNAcentral
CUCACUCCCGUCUCCGGAUCAGUCUGCUCCAAGCUCGAUCAACGCUGGCUACUAGUGCCCGGACCUGCAUCACGAAAUAGAUGCAGAGCGUAGCAUGAGUACCAAAACAACCGGUACCCAGUAGGCAUCAUAGGCCGACUGAACUUGAAAAGUAAAGGCAAUAUGAAAAGAAGGAAUAACACAAACCGAAGUCAAGAACUAAAAUCCAACUAACAAGGGAAUGCACACGAGUGUACAAAGAACUAACUAAAGUAAUCUAUAAGCUAACUACACCUAACUGGGCCCCCAUAAGCCCAGAAGGUACACUCGUGCGCAAGUUAAAUAAAAACCCAAACGGACCCCCAUAAGCACGACGAGUACACAAAAUAACUAUAACUAAAGAGAAUUGCAUAAAAGAACCCAAGAACGAAGAACACGAAUCAGAACCUCAACCCUAAUUAGUAAAAUCUGACAGUACGGAGGCCGGACCUCGAACCGGAUGCUCACCAAAAGUACCUAAGUAACCAAUCACAAGUAACAAGUAUAAGAGGCCGGAACUCUAACCGGAUGCUCUAUAUAGGUAUCUGAGCAAUAGAGGCCGGACCUUAAACCGGAUGCUCUAUAUAAGUAUCUGGGAAAUAGAGGCCGAACCUUAAACCGGAUGCUCUAUAUAAGUAUCUGGGAAAUAGAGGCCGAACCUUAAACCGGAUGCUCUAUAUAAGUAUCUGGGAAAUAGAGGCCGAACCUUAAACCGGAUGCUCUAUAUAAGUAUCUGGGAAAUAGAGGCCGAACCUUAAACCGGAUGCUCUAUAUAAGUAUCUGGGAAAUAGAGGCCGAACCUUAAACCGGAUGCUCUAUAUAAGUAUCUGGGCGAUAGAGGCCGGACCUUAAACCGGAUGCUCUAUAUAAGUAUCUGGGCGAUAGAGGCCGGACCUUAAACCGGAUGCUCUAUAUAAGUAUCUGGAGGGUCCAUUAAUAACACAAAGCAUGCUCACAGUUACCCGAUAAUUCUCGAAAUAGGCCGAAAACAUGAUUUCUAAUCACCUAUGCAUGAUUCAAUAACUACCCAACCCAAAUCCCAACUAAUCAACAUGCAUUCACAUUCUCGAGCUCAAUCUAAGAGAGGGAAACCGUAGCCUACCUGUAGGCCAAUCACACGCGCUCCAAAAUCACUUCUCCGGAGCUUUCCCUUUCCGAACGUCCUCGAAACGCUGCCCCGCUAUCAAAAAUAGGAUCACAACGUUAUUACAGUCGUUUAGACACCAAAAUCACAACAAACGGAGACGGGUUAGUUUUGGAGUCAAAACGGGAAUCGUGGGACCCGCGCUGGAAAUUCUGAAAUUAACCCCACAAGUGGGUCCUAACAAGUUUCCCCAGCUCAUAUCCCAAAAUGGGACACAAUUCGGGGAUCGGGAACAACACACUACCAACAAACAACCAAAGCCCAAAUUUUCUCAAAAAUUAGAAAUGGACAACAGUUGAAUCAGUGUAUUUACCAGAAACUGGAGGUCUACAGUAAAAUGCGACAACACCACGACGUUCUCCUCGAAAAUCACUCAAGAUAGCCUAAAAAAUCACUGAAAUCGGAC